UGGCAGAGCUGGUGUCAUGGGCUGCUUU
RNAcentral lists this non-coding RNA (28 nucleotides) under Mus musculus (house mouse). RNAcentral also lists the same sequence under 1 other name. The record is from RNAcentral. Lineage: Eukaryota; Metazoa; Chordata; Mammalia; Rodentia; Muridae.